Molecule: ribosomal RNA, 371 nt
Filed under: uncultured bacterium
Lineage: Bacteria
Description: bacterial SSU rRNA
Rfam family: Bacterial small subunit ribosomal RNA
Source: RNAcentral
GGAGGGGGCGAGCGUUGUUCGGAAUCAUUGGGCGUAAAGGGCGCGUAGGCGGCCUCGUAAGUCAGAUGUGAAAGCCCCCGGCUUAACCAGGGAACUGCAUCUGAGACUGCAGGGCUUGAAUCCGGGAGGGGAGAGUGGAAUUCCCAGUGUAGCGGUGAAAUGCGUAGAUAUUGGGAGGAACACCAGUGGCGAAGGCGGCUCUCUGGACCGGCAUUGACGCUGAGGCGCGAAAGCUAGGGGAGCAAACGGGAUUAGAUACCCCGGUAGUCCUAGCUGUAAACGAUGGGUACUUGGUGUGGCGGGUAUCGACCCCUGCCGUGCCGAAGCUAACGCAUUAAGUACCCCGCCUGGGGAGUACGGUCGCAAGGCUG